Molecule: transfer RNA, 71 nt
Filed under: Loxodonta africana (African savanna elephant)
Lineage: Eukaryota; Metazoa; Chordata; Mammalia; Proboscidea; Elephantidae
Rfam family: tRNA
About the family: Transfer RNA (tRNA) molecules are approximately 80 nucleotides in length. Their secondary structure includes four short double-helical elements and three loops (D, anti-codon, and T loops). Further hydrogen bonds mediate the characteristic L-shaped molecular structure. tRNAs have two regions of fundamental functional importance: the anti-codon, which is responsible for specific mRNA codon recognition, and the 3' end, to which the tRNAs corresponding amino acid is attached (by aminoacyl-tRNA synthetases). tRNAs cope with the degeneracy of the genetic code in two manners: having more than one tRNA (with a specific anti-codon) for a particular amino acid; and 'wobble' base-pairing, i.e. permitting non-standard base-pairing at the 3rd anti-codon position.
Source: Rfam by way of RNAcentral
ACAUUGAUGGUUCAGUGGUAGAAUUCUCACCUUCCACGUGGGAGACGUUGGUUCAAUUCCUGGCCAAUACA